RNAcentral lists this transfer RNA (72 nucleotides) under Merluccius polli (Benguela hake). It matches the Rfam family "tRNA". Rfam says of the family: Transfer RNA (tRNA) molecules are approximately 80 nucleotides in length. Their secondary structure includes four short double-helical elements and three loops (D, anti-codon, and T loops). Lineage: Eukaryota; Metazoa; Chordata; Actinopteri; Gadiformes; Merlucciidae. The record is from Rfam by way of RNAcentral.
GUUUCUGUAGUGUAGUGGUUAUCACGUUUGCCUCACACGCGUAAGGUCCCGGCUUCGAAACCGGCAGAAACA